RNAcentral lists this ribosomal RNA (1253 nucleotides) under Paragonimus westermani. RNAcentral's name for it is "eukaryotic LSU rRNA". It matches the Rfam family "Eukaryotic large subunit ribosomal RNA", at positions 96 to 928 of the family's 3401-position model. Lineage: Eukaryota; Metazoa; Platyhelminthes; Trematoda; Plagiorchiida; Troglotrematidae. The record is from RNAcentral.
AACAGGGAAAAGCCCAGCACCGAAGCCUGUGGUCAUUUGGUCACUAGGCAAUGUGGUGUUCAGGUCGUUCCAUAGAGGUGCUGCUCCACCCUAAGUCCAGCAAUGAGUACGGUGGUACGGACAUGGCCCACAGAGGGUGAAAGGCCCGUGGGGGUGGAGAUCAGGCAGGCCAGUGCCUCUCUGGGUAGACCUUGGAGUCGGGUUGUUUGUGAAUGCAGCCCAAAGUGGGUGGUAAACUCCAUCCAAGGCUAAAUACUUGCACGAGUCCGAUAGCGAACAAGUACCGUGAGGGAAAGUUGAAAAGUACUUUGAAGAGAGAGUAAACAGUGCGUGAAACCGCUCAGAGGUAAACGGGUGGAGUUGAACUGCAAGCUUCGGGAAUUCAGCUGGUGAGUGUGGUUUGGGCUUGGUCAAGUCGGUUGGACAUUGAGGUCUGUGUAGCGGCAGGUCCUUACUCUCGGGUAAGGAUGCGCGAUACACUUAUCAAGUGUUGUGCGCCUCUUUGUUUAUCGGGCCAAUUUGCCAGUGCACUUUCUCGGAGUGUUCACCACGACCGGCACUGCUGUCUGAUUGCUGUGGUUAAACCGGACUUACAGGGCUCUUGUGGCGUUGUAUGGCCGGGAAGGCAGGUAGCUCGUUGGCUAGCUUGCGGUUUACCGCUGGCGUUUGGUUUUCGAGUGUAAAUAGCUGACCACGAUAUUUCUGUGCAGUGUGUCGGAGACGGCGGCUUGUGGUACGUGCGUGCGUGCCGGUUCUGCUGGCGUGUCCGGGUUUGGUUGUCAUGUUGCUUGUGAAUGCAGGCCUGGCAAUGGUUCGGAUUCGUUUGGUGGGCGGUUGCGUAUGUGGUGCCGUUAAGGGCCAACAGUCUGUGGUGUAGUGGUAGACUAUCCACCUGACCCGUCUUGAAACACGGACCAAGGAGAGUAACAUGUGCGCGAGUCAUUGGGCGUAACGAAACCCACAGGCGCAGUGAAAGUAAAGGCUUGGCUUGUCCAGGCUGAGGUGAGAUCCUGUCGUUUUCACACAUGGUGCCACCAAGCAACGAGCGGCAGGCGCAUCACCGGCCCGUCCCAUGACGUAGACACAUAAUCUUCGGACCAGUGCACCGUCGGGGCGGAGCAUGAGCGUACAUGUUGAGACCCGAAAGAUGGUGAACUAUGCUUGCGCAGGUUGAAGCCAGAGGAAACUCUGGUGGAGGACCGCAGCGAUUCUGACGUGCAAAUCGAUCGUCAAACGUGAGUAUAGGGGCGAAA